RNAcentral lists this ribosomal RNA (311 nucleotides) under uncultured Pantoea sp. RNAcentral describes it as "bacterial SSU rRNA". It matches the Rfam family "Bacterial small subunit ribosomal RNA", at positions 29 to 337 of the family's 1533-position model. Lineage: Bacteria; Pseudomonadati; Pseudomonadota; Gammaproteobacteria; Enterobacterales; Erwiniaceae. The record is from RNAcentral.
ACGAACGCUGGCGGCAGGCCUAACACAUGCAAGUCGAACGGCAGCACAGAAGAGCUUGCUCUUUGGGUGGCGAGUGGCGGACGGGUGAGUAAUGUCUGGGAAACUGCCCGAUGGAGGGGGAUAACUACUGGAAACGGUAGCUAAUACCGCAUAACGUCGCAAGACCAAAGUGGGGGACCUUCGGGCCUCACACCAUCGGAUGUGCCCAGAUGGGAUUAGCUAGUAGGUGGGGUAAUGGCUCACCUAGGCGACGAUCCCUAGCUGGUCUGAGAGGAUGACCAGCCACACUGGAACUGAGACACGGUCCCACG